UCUAGCAAAGCCAAGUAAAUCUAAUUUUUAAGAAUUAUUCAAUAAAGGUACAGCUUUAUUGAAAAAGGAAACAACCUAAACCUUAGGAUAAUGAAUAUUUUUAAAUAGGUAAAAGGCCAAGUUGGCCUAAAAGCAGCCAUCUUUAAAGAUAGCGUCAAAGCUUCACCUUAAACACACCUUAAAUCUCAUUAUUUUUUCAUAAUCCAACAAUUCUACUAAGCCAUUCUAUACUUUUAUAGAAAAGUUUAUGUUAGGACUAGUAACACAGAAUAAUUUCUCUUACAUGUAAGUUUAAAUCAACCCGAAUACCUCCUUGAUAAUUACUCAAAUUUGAACCUUAAGUAGUACCUAUUAAUUACAAAAACCCUACUUAACUUAUUGUUAAUCAAACAUAUGGAUAUGAAAGAAAGAUUAAAAAAUUAAGAAGGAACUCGGCAAACACAAGUCCCGCCUGUUUACCAAAAACAUCGCCUUUUGAAAAGUAUAAAAGGUAACGCCUGCCCACUGACAGUAUGUUUAACGGCCGCGGUAUUCUGACCGUGCGAAGGUAGCGUAAUCACUUGUCUUUUAAAUGAAGACUCGUAUGAAAGGCAUCACGAGAACUUAGCUGUCUCCUUAAUUCAAUCAGUGAAACUGAUACCCCUGUAAAAAAGCAGGGAUGAUUACAUAAGACGAGAAGACCCUGUGGAGCUUAAAACAUAAGCUACUUCUAUACUCUACUAACUUAUAGUACUAAAAUACAAACCUAGCCUAAGUUUUCUGUUGGGGCGGCUGUGGAGAAAAACUUAUCCUCCAUGAAGAAAAAACUUUGAUCUACCGCUCUUAGUAUUAGCAAGCCUAACUUAAAUUGAUCCAAUUUUUGAUCAACGGACCAAGUUACCCCAGGGAUAACAGCGCAAUCCAUUUCAAGAGUCCCUAUCGACAAAUGGGUUUACGACCUCGAUGUUGGAUUAG
This 954-nucleotide ribosomal RNA is filed under the name Leptobrachium hendricksoni (spotted litter frog). Its description in RNAcentral is "partial 16S ribosomal RNA". It matches the Rfam family "Bacterial large subunit ribosomal RNA", at positions 935 to 2540 of the family's 2925-position model. Lineage: Eukaryota; Metazoa; Chordata; Amphibia; Anura; Megophryidae. The record is from RNAcentral.